CCCUUAGAUGUUCUGGGCCGCACGCGUGCUACACUGAGUGGAUCAGCGGGUCAGGUUGCGCGAAAGCGUUUCCUAAUCUUUAAAUCCGCUCGUGAUGGGGAUUGACGGUUGCAAUUUUCUGUCAUGAACGAGGAAUACCUUGUAAGCGCGGGUCAUCAUCCCGCGCUGAAUACGUCCCUGCCCUUUGUACACACCGCCCGUCGCUACUACCGAUUGAAUGGUUUAGUGAGAUCCUUGGAUCGGCCCUGUCGCGGCUGGCAACGGCCGCGUCGGCGCGUCGAGAAGACGAUCAAACUUGAUCAUUUAGAGGAAGUAAAAGUCGUAACA
This 327-nucleotide ribosomal RNA is filed under the name uncultured eukaryote. RNAcentral describes it as "partial 18S ribosomal RNA". It matches the Rfam family "Eukaryotic small subunit ribosomal RNA", at positions 1470 to 1796 of the family's 1831-position model. The record is from RNAcentral.